Molecule: long non-coding RNA, 451 nt
Organism: Dermacentor andersoni
Lineage: Eukaryota; Metazoa; Arthropoda; Arachnida; Ixodida; Ixodidae
Source: RefSeq, a predicted model, not a curated record
GGGCACCGUCCUGGCACUUGUUAGAAUGACAGUGAACUAGAUGAACAGUAUGCUUUUAAACAGCACAUGUGGACAACGUCGACGUCAGUUCAUAGCUUAGAUGAGGACGGGAUGUCUUUUUCAAACAGGGGCGACUUCGUAAUUUAUGUCACUUGAUUGUCACAAUACCCGGUAAGGCCUGGUAUUCUGUGACGGCAGUUUUUCUGACAGGCCAACAUGGCGACUUCAAGACCACAAAUAAACAAGAUUCCUGAGAGAGAACUGAAGGUUCCAGCGGCGACUGUCAUAGCGGGCCUGAUCCACUUGUAUAUUUGGAAAAUUGAAAAUCUCUGCCUGUGUACUGAACUGCCAAGUUGAUAAGGACCUCUGUCAAGCUUACGAGCUUUUAGUCCUGUCUCCUCCUCUGUCCAAGAGAAAAAUAAAGACUGAAUUGAAUAUACAUAUACCUAUA